AACAGCUCAAAUUUGAAAUCUGGCUUCGGCCCGAGUUGUAAUUUGCAGAGGAUGUUUCUGGCGCGGUGCCUUCCGAGUUCCCUGGAACGGGACGCCACAGAGGGUGAGAGCCCCGUAUGGUUGGACACCAAGCCUGUGUGAAACUCCUUCGACGAGUCGAGUAGUUUGGGAAUGCUGCUCAAAAUGGGAGGUAAAUCUCUUCUAAAGCUAAAUACCGGCCAGAGACCGAUAGCGCACAAGUAGAGUGAUCGAAAGAUGAAAAGCACCUUGAAAAGGGGGUUAAACAGUACGUGAAAUUGUUGAAAGGGAAGCGCUUGUGACCAGACUUGCGCCGGGCGGCUCAUCCGGGGUUCUCCCCGGUGCACUCCGCCCGGUUCAGGCCAGCAUCGGUUCUCGUUGGGGGAUAAGAACGAUAGGAACGUGGCCCUCCUUCGGGUGGGUGUUAUAGCCUGUCGUACGAUACCCUGACGGGGACCGAGGUUCGCGCUCCGCAAGGAUGCUGGCGUAAUGGUCAUCAGCGACCCGUCUUGAAACACGGACCAAGGAGUCGUCCAUUAGAGCGAGCGUUUGGGUGUAAAACCCGCACGCGUAAUGAAAGUGAAAUUAGGUGAGAGCUUCGGCGCAUCAUCGACCGAUCCUGAUGUUCUCGGAUGGAUUUGAGUAAGAGUUUUAACGGACGGACCCGAAAGACAGUGAACUAUGCUUGUAUAGGGUGAAGCCAGAGGAAACUCUGGUGGAGGCUCGCAGCGGUUCUGACGUGCAAAUCGAUCGUCAAAUAUGAGCAUGGGGGCGAAAGACUAAUCGAACUG
RNAcentral lists this ribosomal RNA (809 nucleotides) under Aurantioporthe corni. RNAcentral describes it as "eukaryotic LSU rRNA". It matches the Rfam family "Eukaryotic large subunit ribosomal RNA", at positions 103 to 942 of the family's 3401-position model. Lineage: Eukaryota; Fungi; Ascomycota; Sordariomycetes; Diaporthales; Cryphonectriaceae. The record is from RNAcentral.